AGCAGCCGCGGUAAUUCCAGCUCCAAUAGCGUAUAUUAAAGUUGUUGCAGUUAAAAAGCUCGUAGUUGAAUUUCGGGAUUGGCGCAUCGGUCGUGCCUCACGGGGUAUGAACUGGUGCAGUCAAUUUCUCACCUUCUGGAGAACCGCGAUGUCCUUAAUUGGAUGCCGCGGGGAACCAGGACCUUUACUUUGAAAAAAUUAGAGUGUUUAAAGCAGGCAUUUUUGCUUGAAUACAUUAGCAUGGAAUAAUAAAAUAGGACGGCAUGGUUCUAUUUUGUUGGUUUCUAGGACCACCGUAAUGAUUAAUAGGGAUAGUUGGGGGCAUUAGUAUUCAAUUGUCAGAGGUGAAAUUCUUGGAUUUAUUGAAGACUAACUACUGCGAAAGCAUUUGCCAAGGAUGUUUUCAUUAAUCAAGAACGAAAGUUAGGGGAUCGAAGACGAUCAGAUACCGUCGUAGUCUUAACCAUAAACUAUGCCGACUAGGAAUCAGACGAUGUUAAUUUUUUAAU
RNAcentral lists this ribosomal RNA (509 nucleotides) under uncultured Entrophospora. RNAcentral describes it as "SSU rRNA". It matches the Rfam family "Eukaryotic small subunit ribosomal RNA", at positions 569 to 1075 of the family's 1831-position model. The record is from RNAcentral. Lineage: Eukaryota; Fungi; Glomeromycota; Glomeromycetes; Entrophosporales; Entrophosporaceae.